Molecule: non-coding RNA, 23 nt
Filed under: Cricetulus griseus (Chinese hamster)
Lineage: Eukaryota; Metazoa; Chordata; Mammalia; Rodentia; Cricetidae
Source: RNAcentral
UCAUGGAAAUGUAAGAGUGGAAU